AUACGGGGGGGGCAAGCGUUGUCCGGAAUCAUUGGGCGUAAAGGGCGCGUAGGCGGAAUGGUAAGUCAGGGGUGAAAAUUCUGAGCUUAACUCAGUACCUGCCCUUGAUACUGCUAUUCUUGAGUUCGAGAGGGGAAAGUGGAAUUCCCGGUGUAGCGGUGAAAUGCGUAGAUAUCGGGAAGAACACCAGUAGCGAAGGCGGCUUUCUGGCUCGUAACUGACGCUGAGGCGCGAAAGCGUGGGGAGCAAACAGGAUUAGAAACCCCAGUAGUCC
This 274-nucleotide ribosomal RNA is filed under the name uncultured bacterium. Its description in RNAcentral is "partial 16S ribosomal RNA". It matches the Rfam family "Bacterial small subunit ribosomal RNA", at positions 523 to 796 of the family's 1533-position model. The record is from RNAcentral.